UUGAUCCUGGCUCAGGAUGACCUUUAGCGGCAGGCUUAACACAUGCAAGUCGAGGGGCAGCAUGUCCAGCAAUGGAUGAUGGCGACCGGCGGAAGGGUGCGUAACGCGUGAGCAACAUGCCCUAUACAGGGAGAUACACCAGGGAAACUUGGUCUAAUAUCCCAUAGCAUUCAUUGAAGGCAUCUUUAAUGAAUUAAAGCUUCGGUGGUAUAGGAUUGGCUCGCGUGACAUUAGCCAGAUGGUGAGGUAACGGCUCACCAUAGCAAUGAUGUCUAGGGGUUUUGAGAGGAAGGCCCCCCACACUGGGACUGAGACACGGCCCAGACUCCUACGGGAGGCAGCAGUGAGGAAUAUUGGACAAUGGAUGGAAAUCUGAUCCAGCCAUGCCGCGUGCAGGAAGACGGCCUUAUGGGUUGUAAACUGCUUUUAUACGGGAGCAAUAAGGGUUACGAGUAAUCCGAUGAGAGUACUGUAUGAAUAAGGAUCGGCUAACUACGUGCCAGCAGCCGCGGUAACACGUAGGGGGCAAGCGUUGUUCGGAAUUAUUGGGUUUAAAGGGUGCGUAGGCGGGUUAUCAAGUCAGCGGUGAAAUUUUUCGGCUUAACCGUAAAAUUGCCGUUGAAACUGGUGAUCUUGAGUGCGAGCGGGGUAGGCGGAAUGUGCCGUGUAGCGGUGAAAUGCAUAGAUAUGGCACAGAACUCCGAUUGCGAAGGCAGCUUACUAGUACGCUACUGACGCUGAUGCACGAAGGCGUGGGGAUCAAACAGGAUUAGAUACCCUGGUAGUCCACGCAGUAAACGAUGAUUACUAGCUGUUUGCGAUAUACCGUAAGCGGCCGAGCGAAAGCAUUAAGUAAUCCACCUGGGGAGUACGUUCGCAAGAAUGAAACUCAAAGGAAUUGACGGGGGCCCGCACAAGCGGAGGAGCAUGUGGUUUAAUUCGAUGAUACGCGAGGGACCUUACCCGGGCUUGAAAUGCAGAUGACAGGCGGCGAGAACCGUUUUUCCUUCGGGACAUCUGUGUAGGUGCUGCAUGGUUGUCGUCAGCUCGUGCCGUGAGGUGUCGGCUUAAGUGCCAUAACGAGCGCAACCCCUGCUUUCAGUUACCAUCAUUAAGUUGGGGACUCUGGAAGGACCGCUGCGGUAACAACGCAGAGGAAGAUGGGGACGAUGUCAAGUCAUCAUGGUCCUUAUGACCGGGGCUACACACGUGCUACAAUGGCAAUUACAGAAGGAAGCAAAUACGCAAGUAGGAGCAAAACUAAGAAAAAUAGCCCUAGUUCGGAUUGGAGGCUGCAACUCGCCUCCAUGAAGCUGGAAUUGCUAGUAAUCACAAGUCAGCAUACUGUGGUGAAUACGUUCCCGGGCCUUGUACACAGCGCCCGUCA
Molecule: ribosomal RNA, 1387 nt
Filed under: uncultured bacterium
Lineage: Bacteria
Description: 16S ribosomal RNA
Rfam family: Bacterial small subunit ribosomal RNA
Source: RNAcentral